Molecule: unclassified non-coding RNA, 253 nt
Filed under: uncultured Acidobacteriota bacterium
Lineage: Bacteria; Pseudomonadati; Acidobacteriota
Description: uncultured Acidobacteria bacterium contains 16S-23S intergenic spacer region
Rfam family: Bacterial small subunit ribosomal RNA
Source: RNAcentral
UACGGAGGGGGCGAGCGUUAUUCGGAAUCAUUGGGCGUAAAGGGCGUGUAGGCGGCUCCGUGUGUCUCAUGUGAAAGCCCUCGGCUCAACCGAGGAAUUGCACGGGAAACUGCGGAGCUUGAGUCCGGGAGAGGAGAGCGGAAUUCCCAGUGUAGCGGUGAAAUGCGUAGAUAUUGGGAGGAACACCAGUGGCGAAAGCGGCUCUCUGGACCGGUACUGACGCUGAGACGCGAAAGCUAGGGGAGCAAACGGG